AUGUAAAAAAUGCGUUCAAUAUUUGUACCUUUAAAUGAUUUUGUUAAAAAACUAGACUUAAAUCCAAUAAUACUAAUUAUAUACUAUAAAUAUUAAUAAUUUUUUAUUAUAUAUUCAAUUAAAGUUAUUUCUCAGGAACCGCAAACAAUAUUUAUUUUAGUAUGUCCGGGAGUAUAUAGUAUUAUUGCAUCAGAUAUAUUCUGAUUCGACUAGGUCGAGCUCUCUUCAUCCUAAAAUAUAAAAUAUCCUAAAAUUCUACUAUGACAUAUUAUGAGAUACUAGCACCUUAAAAUAUACGAUCACGGAGGGACUAUAAAACAAAUGAUACAUGUCUCACUUCACCAUGAACCUCUUAUGAUUUUCACAAUUUCUGAAUGAUUUGACAUCUUACAUUUUAGGAUACAUGGAGCAAACAGCUGCACGUCUUAAAUGUCAUGAAAAGAAAAUUGAUCGAAAGGGAGUAAAAGUUAAGUUUUAGAAAUGCACCGUUUAGAAAAAAAAAAUAAUAAUAAAAUGGCACAGAUUUUAUGAUGGAACCGAGCCAAAGGUCAUUUGAUUCUAUAGGAAAAGCUCACACACCACCACCAGCAAGUGCAGGAUGCUGCUAGCAGCGGUAGGCCGGUACCAAACGCAGACCACAUGCAAAAGUUUGACCAAAGUCUCCAGACACACACACCGUUUGGCCCAGUCGGCUCGGCUGCCAGAGCCGAUCCCGUGGCUCGAGCCACCUGCCGCAUCGAAAACCUUGGCACUGUCAUUUGAAUUUGAACUCUGACGUUUAUCGCCCCGGGCUAUUUGGCAAACCCGCGGGCGAACCGCAAAAUUCACCUGGGAAACGAGCGCGCGG
RNAcentral lists this long non-coding RNA (847 nucleotides) under Sorghum bicolor (sorghum). Its description in RNAcentral is "long non-coding RNA (SBIC_LNC007391)". Lineage: Eukaryota; Viridiplantae; Streptophyta; Magnoliopsida; Poales; Poaceae. The record is from RNAcentral.